UACGUAGGGGGCAAGCGUUGUCCGGAAUCAUUGGGCGUAAAGAGCGUGUAGGCGGCCCGAUAAGUCCGCCGUGAAAGUCCAGGGCUCAACCCUGGAAUGCCGGUGGAAACUGUCGGGCUCGAGUCCGGAAGAGGCGAGUGGAAUUCCUGGUGUAGCGGUGAAAUGCGCAGAUAUCAGGAGGAACACCUAUGGCGAAGGCAGCUCGCUGGGACGGUACUGACGCUGAGGCGCGAAAGCGUGGGGAGCAAACAGG
This 253-nucleotide ribosomal RNA is filed under the name uncultured bacterium. RNAcentral's name for it is "partial 16S ribosomal RNA". It matches the Rfam family "Bacterial small subunit ribosomal RNA", at positions 524 to 776 of the family's 1533-position model. The record is from RNAcentral.